AUUGUUUUGACACGUGACACCUAGUCGCUAGACAAGUCUUUUUUUAAUAUAUAUAAAUAGUAUCGUUGUGCGGCUAUACUCUUUUUUUAUUUUUUUAUUUUAAAAUAGUAUAGCCGCACGGCUAUUCGCAGUUUUAUUAAAGUUUCUUAAAACUGCAAUCCAACUUUAAUAUACAAAUACCACAUGUACCCACACAUUUUGCAAAUAUAACUUUUAAAUAUAUAUACUUCUGACCAAAAAAAUAAAAAAAUAAAAAAAUAUAUACUUACUGGCCACUAAACACUUUUUCUCACUUUUUCAUUUUUCUCUUCGCUCUCUCUCUCUCUCUCUCUCUCUCUCUCUCUCUCUCUCUCACUUGCUGUGUUUGGAUUUGAGCUGUUGGAUUGAUCUUGAUCUGAGUUUUUGCGCCUUGUGGCUGGCCAAAUCCAUGAUCAUCAGCGUCCCAAUGGACCCCUCUCCAGUGCGAACCACUCAACCUCUUGAUGAAGAAGAUGAGUGGGUUGUUUUGCAUUUCUGCUGCUGUGAGCUUUGAAAGUAUCGGAAAUUUUGCUUAAAUGGAGGUUGCUUUGUUAAGGUUUUGGAAGAAUGGAUGAAGCAGAUUUUUUGCAAGGAUGCUAUCUUUAUGUGUAUUUUUGUGAUGGGUUGUAAUCUUUAAUUUCAUAAGUUUAAUUUGGAUUGCUUGCUUUAUUUGUGUAUUAUUUUUUUGUCAUGGUUUGUAAGAGAUUAUAUUUCCUUUUCUUGCUUGGUUGGUUGAAUGUGUGAAUGUGAGAUUCAUUUAGUUGUUUAGAAACUUAGAUUGGAAUGAUGGAUUUUUAUAGGUUGAAUUUGCAUAAUUUCAGGUUUUGAA
This is a long non-coding RNA of Prunus persica (peach), 847 nucleotides long. RefSeq lists it as uncharacterized. The record is from RefSeq and is a predicted model, not a curated record. The transcript is spliced from 3 exons. Lineage: Eukaryota; Viridiplantae; Streptophyta; Magnoliopsida; Rosales; Rosaceae.